GAUGAAGAACGCAGCGAAAUGCGAUAAGUAGUGUGAAUUGCAGAAUUCAGUGAAUCAUCGAAUCUUUGAACGCACAUUGCGCCCCCUGGUAUUCCGGGGAGCAUGCCUGUCCGAGCGUCAUUGCUGCCCUCAAGCACGGCUUGUGUGUUGGGCCUCCGUCCUCCUCCCGGGGGACGGGCCCGAAAGGCAGCGGCGGCACCGCGUCCGGUCCUCGAGCGUAUGGGGCUUCGUCACCCGCUCUUGUAGGCCCGGCCGGCGCUUGCCGACACAUCAAUCUUUUUUCCAGGUUGACCUCGGAUCAGGUAGGGAUACCCGCUGAACUUAAGCAUAUCAAUAAGCGGAGGA
RNAcentral lists this unclassified non-coding RNA (345 nucleotides) under soil metagenome. RNAcentral describes it as "partial contains 5.8S ribosomal RNA, internal transcribed spacer 2, and large subunit ribosomal RNA". The stretch from base 1 to 120 matches the Rfam family "5.8S ribosomal RNA", at positions 35 to 154 of the family's 154-position model. The record is from RNAcentral.